RNAcentral lists this ribosomal RNA (174 nucleotides) under uncultured bacterium. Its description in RNAcentral is "partial 16S ribosomal RNA". It matches the Rfam family "Bacterial small subunit ribosomal RNA", at positions 338 to 524 of the family's 1533-position model. The record is from RNAcentral.
CCUACGGGAGGCAGCAGUGGGGAAUAUUGCACAAUGGGCGCAAGCCUGAUGCAGCGACGCCGCGUGGGGGAUGACGGCCUUCGGGUUGUAAACCUCUUUCAAUAGGGACGAAGCGCAAGUGACGGUACCUAUAGAAGAAGCACCGGCCAACUACGUGCCAGCAGCCGCGGUAAU